Potamilus streckersoni is the source of this 75-nucleotide non-coding RNA. Lineage: Eukaryota; Metazoa; Mollusca; Bivalvia; Unionida; Unionidae. The record is from the annotation of a GenBank genome assembly.
GCUCCGGUGGCCUAGUGGUUAGAGCGUCCGCCUCAGAUGGGGAAAAUUCGCGGGUUCGAUCCAACGGUCGGUGCA